Molecule: long non-coding RNA, 624 nt
Organism: Oreochromis aureus
Lineage: Eukaryota; Metazoa; Chordata; Actinopteri; Cichliformes; Cichlidae
Exons: 3
Source: RefSeq, a predicted model, not a curated record
UAACGGAGACUCACCCUUGUCUUUAGACCAAACUAGCAGCUUCCUCUGAGUGAGUCCACCUACAGGAGAGAAAAGUGGAAGACGCCAACACUGCUGCUUCAAGCUGCUGACGCUCCACACACUGAAUCUUCACUCACAGACUCAAUGGCUUCCAGAUCAGAGAAGGACCUGUUUAUCAUUAACUUUUACAGCUUCUGGCAGGGUGAUGUCUGAACUUUGGAAUGAAACACACCUUGAGUUACAGGAACCUUGGUUGUUAUAACUCAGAAUCAAACUCAUCUCUAUCCCAAACUAACAGCUUCCUCUGAGUGAGUCCAACUACAGGAGAGAAAAGUGGAAGACGCCAACACUGCUGCUUCAAGCUGCUGACGCUCCACACACUGAAUCUUCACUCAGACUCAAUGGCUUCCAGAUCAGAGGAGGAUCUCUGCUGUCCGGUCUGUCAGCAGGUCUUCAGAGAUCCCGUUCUUCUGUCAUGCAGCCACAGCUUCUGUAAAGACUGUCUGAAGAGAUGGUGGAGAAAAAAACGGACACACGAGUGUCCAGUUUGUAAGAGAAGAUCUUCAAAGGAUGAUCCACCUUCAAAUCUGGCUUUAAAGAACUUGUGUGAGUCGUUUUUACAGG